GACGAACGCUGGCGGCGUGCUUAACACAUGCAAGUCGAACGGAAAGGCCCUGCUUUUGUGGGGUGCUCGAGUGGCGAACGGGUGAGUAACACGUGAGUAACCUGCCCUUGACUUUGGGAUAACUUCAGGAAACUGGGGCUAAUACCGGAUAGGAGCUCCUGCUGCAUGGUGGGGGUUGGAAAGUUUCGGCGGUUGGGGAUGGACUCGCGGCUUAUCGGCUUGUUGGUGGGGUAGUGGCUUACCAAGGCUUUGACGGGUAGCCGGCCUGAGAGGGUGACCGGCCACAUUGGGACUGAGAGACGGACCAGACGCCUACGGGAGGCAGCAGUGGGGAAUAUUGCACAAUGGGCGGAAGCCUGAUGCAGCAACGCCGCGUGCGGGAUGACGGCCUUCGGGUUGUAAACCGCUUUCGCCUGUGACGAAGCGUGAGUGACGGUAAUGGGUAAAGAAGCACCGGCUAACUACGUG
This 468-nucleotide ribosomal RNA is filed under the name uncultured bacterium. Its description in RNAcentral is "partial 16S ribosomal RNA". It matches the Rfam family "Bacterial small subunit ribosomal RNA", at positions 28 to 507 of the family's 1533-position model. The record is from RNAcentral.